ACUCCUACGGGAGGCAGCAGUGGGGAAUUUUGGACAAUGGGCGCAACCCUGAUCCAGCACUGCCGCGUGUGGAAGAAGGCCUUCCGGUUUAAAGCUCUUUUAUCUUGGAGGAAGGGCACUGGGUAAUACCUUGGGGAAUGACGUACCUGCAGAAAAAGACC
This 161-nucleotide ribosomal RNA is filed under the name uncultured Collimonas sp. RNAcentral's name for it is "partial 16S small subunit ribosomal RNA". It matches the Rfam family "Bacterial small subunit ribosomal RNA", at positions 335 to 493 of the family's 1533-position model. Lineage: Bacteria; Pseudomonadati; Pseudomonadota; Betaproteobacteria; Burkholderiales; Oxalobacteraceae. The record is from RNAcentral.